RNAcentral lists this transfer RNA (55 nucleotides) under Aneura pinguis. RNAcentral describes it as "partial tRNA-His". The record is from RNAcentral. Lineage: Eukaryota; Viridiplantae; Streptophyta; Jungermanniopsida; Metzgeriales; Aneuraceae.
GGCGCACGCCUGCCAAUUGAUCAAGGCUUUGAAUUGCGAACAUCCCCACGGGUCG